UCUGGAGGGCAGUAUGAGCUUUUUGCUGUGAUUGCGCACAUGGGAAUGGCAGACUCUGGUCAUUACUGUGUCUACAUCCGGAAUGCUGUGGAUGGAAAAUGGUUCUGCUUCAAUGACUCCAAUAUUUGCUUGGUGUCCUGGGAAGACAUCCAGUGUACCUAUGGAAAUCCUAACUACCACUG
This 182-nucleotide small RNA is filed under the name Pan troglodytes (chimpanzee). RNAcentral describes it as "processed transcript". Lineage: Eukaryota; Metazoa; Chordata; Mammalia; Primates; Hominidae. The record is from RNAcentral.